UCCGAGUUGACCCCGGCAGUCUCCUAUGAGUCCCCGGCAUAACCCGCUGGCAACAUAGGACGAGGGUUGCGCUCGUUGCGGGACUUAACCCAACAUCUCACGACACGAGCUGACGACAACCAUGCACCACCUGUGCACGGCCCUUACGGACCCACCAUCUCUGGAGGAUUUCCGUGCAUGUCAAGCCUAGGUAAGGUUCUUCGCGUUGCCUCGAAUUAAGUAACAUGCUCCGCCGCUUGUGCGGGCCCCCGUCAAUUCCUUUGAGUUUUAGCCUUGCGGCCGUACUCCCCAGGCGGGGCACUUAAUGCGUUAGCGACGGCGCGGAUCUCGUUGGUUGAGACCCACACCUAGUGCCCAACGUUUACGGCGUGGACUAC
This 377-nucleotide unclassified non-coding RNA is filed under the name uncultured Actinomycetes bacterium. RNAcentral's name for it is "uncultured actinobacterium contains 16S-23S intergenic spacer region". Lineage: Bacteria; Bacillati; Actinomycetota; Actinomycetes. The record is from RNAcentral.